UUGUGAGAAAUCUACAUUGAAUACUUGUCCUUCUGAUUCUGUGAGCUCCACUGUUUGUUCACCAUGCAUUCGAGCAAUCUCGAGUAUACUGCUCAACUCUUUAUUAUAAUGGAUAACUUUAUUGUGUACAUCUUGGUAACUCCAUUGAACGUUUUCUGACAGGAGAACAUCGUAAAGAUUUUUAUGAUCAACCUUCUUUGUGAUGAUGUUGUGAUUGAUAAACUCGUCGAUUUUUUGAAAGGCGAACAACAUUUUUUGGUCGGAACGUCCCAUAACCUGAAGCGUUAUGGACUCUUUGCCGCAGCCAAACGCAAGAGGAACAAAACUCGGCUUUUUAUGCGAUGAAGCGUCGUCUAAACAAUCAGAAAAUUUAUCAGUGGCUUCACAAUUGAAGUUUUGAUAAAAUUUAUAUGCUUCAAA
Molecule: long non-coding RNA, 420 nt
Organism: Xenia sp. Carnegie-2017
Lineage: Eukaryota; Metazoa; Cnidaria; Anthozoa; Malacalcyonacea; Xeniidae
Exons: 2
Source: RefSeq, a predicted model, not a curated record